RNAcentral lists this long non-coding RNA (522 nucleotides) under Elaeis guineensis (African oil palm). RNAcentral's name for it is "long non-coding RNA (EGUI_LNC044695)". The record is from RNAcentral. Lineage: Eukaryota; Viridiplantae; Streptophyta; Magnoliopsida; Arecales; Arecaceae.
GGAUGAAUUUUGAUAAGUUUUGAACUUUAAAUACAUGAAAAACUGGAUUAAAAUAUGAUGGGACGACCCACCUGGGUCAUCCCCUUCUGUUAGGCAGCCGGCACACAGCAUUUUGGGUCAUGGCAUGCUGUGGGAUGACCCAUCUGAGAUGCCCCAUGUAAUUAGGACGUCCCAUGGGAUGCCCUCUUGAUACCUAAGACUAAAACAGAAAGCAGGACUUUCUGUCUAGCCAAUUGGGAUGCCCCAUGGGAUGCCCCAUGGGACACCUCAUUUCAGCGAGCAUGUGUAACGAUUAGUUUUCAGCCCAUUUUUUGAUGUAUUUAAUGCACAUUAAACACUCUCCAAUGGCUCUAAACCAACUUUAAGACAUUAUCAAAGGUGAAUGGCAACUAUAAAUACUCUAUUCAAAUGGAAAAUCAGAAGAUUUUUGCAAGCUUAAAGAUUAAAUAUGAGAAAAAUUAUUUUCAACCCUAAGAGAGAGAUUGAAGCAUUUAAGCACCUCACCAACCACUCUUCAGCAGC